This 253-nucleotide ribosomal RNA is filed under the name uncultured bacterium. RNAcentral describes it as "partial 16S ribosomal RNA". It matches the Rfam family "Bacterial small subunit ribosomal RNA", at positions 524 to 776 of the family's 1533-position model. The record is from RNAcentral.
UACGGGGGGGGCAAGCGUUGUUCGGAAUUACUGGGCGUAAAGGGCUCGUAGGCGGCCAACUAAGUCAGACGUGAAAUCCCUCGGCUUAACCGGGGAACUGCGUCUGAUACUGGAUGGCUUGAAUUCGGGAGAGGGAUGCGGAAUUCCAGGUGUAGCGGUGGAAUGCGUAGAUAUCUGGAGGAACACCGGUGGCGAAGGCGGCAUCCUGGACCGGCAUUGACGCUGAGGAGCGAAAGCCAGGGGAGCAAACGGG